AUUCAAAGUUCUGAUUCCAAAUGUUACUUAAGAACUAGUAAUAUUUUGACUAAUUCAAAUGUUCUUACAAAUCUUCUAGUAUAAUUCAACUUGGCACAUAGAGGAGGAGCAUUUUUACUUCGUUCUCUCUGUGCUGCUAGCUGCAUUCUGAGAUAUCUAUGGUCGGAGAAGGAGAGAGUCCCGCUAUCGGAAUCGACCUCGGAACCACCUACUCCUGCGUCGGAGUGUGGCAGAACGACCGUGUCGAAAUCAUCCCCAACGACCAGGGAAACCGAACCACCCCCUCUUAUGUUGCUUUCACCGAUUUCGAGCGCUUGAUCGGUGAUGCCGCCAAGAACCAGGUCUCCAGGAACCCCAUCAACACCAUCUUCGAUGCGAAGCGUUUGAUUGGAAGGAAAUUCUCGGAUGAUUCAGUUGAGAGUGACAUGAAGCUAUGGCCAUUCAAGGUCAUUUCCGGUCCUGUCGACAGGCCCAUGAUUGUUGUUAACUACAAGAAUGAGGAGAAGCAAUUCACUGCUGAGGAGAUUUCCUCCAUGGUCCUCAUCAAGAUGCGUGAGAUUGCCGAGGCUUAUCUUGGUUCCACCGUGAAGAAUGUCGUUGUCACUGUCCCAGCAUACUUCAAUGACUCUCAACGCCAGGCUACCAAGGACGCAGGUGUCAUCGCGGGCCUAAAUGUCAUGCGUAUCAUCAACGAACCCACUGCUGCUGCCCUUGCCUAUGGCCUUAACACGGGGGCCGCCUCCCUAGAUUAUGGGAAGAACGUGUUGAUUUUUGACCUUGGGGGUGGUACUUUUGAUGUCUCUCUUCUAAUAAUUUCUAAUGGUCUCUUUCAUGUUCAAGCCACUUCCGGAGACACCCAUCUUGGAGGUGAGGACUUUGAUAACAGGAUGGUUAACCAUUUUGUUGAGGAGUUCAAGAGGAAGCACGAGAAGGAUAUUAGUGGGAAUCUGAGGGCUUUAAGAAGGUUGAGGAUUGCAUGUGAAAGGGCAAAGAGGACUCUCUCCUCCACAAAACAUACCACCAUUGAGAUUGACUCAUUGUAUAAAGGUGUUGACUUCUACACUACAAUCACUCGUGACAGGUUUGAAGAGCUCAACUUGGACCUCUUUAGGAGUUGCAUUGAGACUGUUGAGCGGUGUCUAAAGGACUCUAAGAUGGACAAGAGCAGUGUCCAUGAUAUUGUUCUAGUUGGUGGGUCUACUAGGAUCCCAAAAGUGCAGUCACUGAUGCAAAAUUUCUUCAAUGGGAAGGAGCUCUGCAAGAGCAUUAGCCCUGAAGAGGCUGUUGCUUGUGGAGCUGCUGUUCAGGCUGCUAUCUUGACUAAAGAGGAUACUAAGACGAUUCAGAAAUUUUUGUUGAUGGAUGCCACACCCCUUUCCCUUGGUGUGGAAAUUGUUGGUGGUGUCAUGUCUGUACUCAUUGAAAAGAACAAAACGAUUCCUUUCACAAAGGAGCAGGUUUUCUCGACCUACUCAAACAACCAGCCUGGUGUGUCAAUCAAGGUGUACGAGGGUGAAAGUAUCUGUAGCAGGGACAAUUACUUGUUGGGUAAAUUUGAGCUUUCUGGCAUUCCUCCUGCUCCAAGAGGUGUUCCUCAGAUCAAUGUUUGCUUUCAUAUUGAUAUUAAUGGUAUCUUGAAUGUCUCUGCUGAGGACAAGACUACAGGGAAUAAGAAAAAUAUCAUUAUCACCAAUCACAAGGGAAGGCUCUCUAAGGAGGAGAUUGAGAAGAUGGUGCAGGAGGCGGAGAAGUACAAUUCUACAAAAGAUGCUCCAGAUCAACACUUGAAGGCACAAGUAGAACAUGAUACUUGCCAUUAUAUUACUGCACGAUGUAUCCCAUCUCCAUCAGGUGAAAAGCCAGAUCCAUCAGAACACAAGGUGUCCUCAACUCCAUGCGUGGAGUCCCUUAUGGAAAAUCUAGGUGCACAUGUAGAGGAGUUAAUCUCUUAUGGAAAAUCUGGGUCCUCCAAUUCUACAAAAGAAGCCUCAGAUCAACACUUUGAGGCACUAGUAGAACAUCACAUUACAAUACCAACCCCAAGUUUACAAGCCUUCCCUUCUAGAAACAUGAGGUAUUAUUUUAAAUCUACAUAAAAGGCUUCACAGAAGAUUAUAAAGGGACUAAAAGAUGAUAAUUUCUAUGCAAUUGGAUUGUAUGGAAAAAGGGGCUCCGUUAAAACAACAUUAAUCAAAGCUGAGAUGGAAGAGUAUGAAAAGAAUUUUCGUAAAGUGAUAUUUCUCACUGUGUAUGAGAAUCAAGAUAUCAAGAGCAUUCGAUUGGGAAUUGCUAGCUCCUUGAACGUGUUUGAAAAUGAUGACAGUGAUGGUGCAAGAAUAGUGAAAAUAAUUUCGGCAUUAGAAAGGAAGGAUAGAACUACUCUAGUCGUCUUGGAUAAUUUUCCAUCAAUGUCUAAAUUGGAAGAAUUAGGUAUUCCUAAUUAUAAGAGCAAACAGUACAAGUUCCUUUUGACCACUCGCCAUGAGACAGACUGCACCUCAAUCAGAUGUGAUCAUUUGAUUCUUCUGAGCCCCUUAUCUAACGAAGAAGCUUUUGCCCUGCUACAAAAACUUUCAGGUGUUGACUCCCAUAUUGAUAUAGUACGAGAUGUUGCUUUUAAAUGCAAUGGCUUGCCGGGUUUGAUUAAAGAUGUUGCAUCUUCCUUGAAAAAUAAGUCUAUUGUGAAGUGGGAAGAAGCAUUAGUUAGUUUAAGCCACUCAACAACCCGCUACCAAAUUUUUAUCAGCUUCAGAAGAAAUGAUACUAGAAAGAUUUUCACAAACCAUCUCUAUGAUGCUUUGUGUAAGGAGGGAUUCGAAACGUUCAAAGAUGAUCAAGCAUUGGAGAGUGGAGCCCCAAUUGAGAAACUUCUUGAAGCCAUUGAAGAAUCAAGGGCCAGAGAUGAAUUUAUUGGAAAGAUCAUAAGAUUUGCCCUUAAUAACAGACAUCGCUUACAUAUACAAAGCAUGUAUAUCAACUAGAUGAAAGGCUUUAGAUUCUCUUAUGGUGAGGGCAACACAAGACACAGCUUGUUGCAAAAGGUUAUGGGAUCAUAAAUGGAUUUUGGUUGUAAUUGUUGGGUUUUUGGAUAUGAAUGUAAACAAAGAAAAUUUGUUAUUUGUUACAUGUUCUAUAUAUAGAGUAAGUGAGGUUGUUUAAAUAACU
RNA transcript from Lotus japonicus, 3165 nucleotides. It is a transcript of the gene named heat shock 70 kDa protein 18-like, with no coding region annotated. NCBI's taxonomy places the organism in Eukaryota, Viridiplantae, Streptophyta, Magnoliopsida, Fabales, Fabaceae. The transcript has 3 exons. The record is from RefSeq and is a predicted model, not a curated record.